This 375-nucleotide ribosomal RNA is filed under the name uncultured organism. Its description in RNAcentral is "bacterial SSU rRNA". It matches the Rfam family "Bacterial small subunit ribosomal RNA", at positions 526 to 896 of the family's 1533-position model. The record is from RNAcentral.
CAGAGGGGGCAAGCGUUGUCCGGAGUUACUGGGCGUAAAGGGUCCGCAGGCGGCUAUGCAAGUGUCGUGUGAAAGCCCCGUGCUUAACACGGGGAGGCCACGGCAGACUGCACAGCUCGAGGGAUGCAGAGGGUGGUGGAAUUGCCGGUGUAGUGGUGAAAUGCGUAGAGAUCGGCAGGAACACCCAGGGCGAAAGCAGCCACCUGGGCAUCAACUGACGCUGAGGGACGAAAGCGUGGGGAGCGAACCGGAUUAGAUACCCGGGUAGUCCACGCCGUAAACGAUGGACGCUCGGCCGCUGGGGGCUAUCAACGCUCCUGGGGGCCUUAGCUGACGCGGCAAGCGUCCCGCCUGGGAACUACGAGCGCAAGCUUA